Molecule: ribosomal RNA, 229 nt
Filed under: uncultured bacterium
Lineage: Bacteria
Description: partial 16S ribosomal RNA
Rfam family: Bacterial small subunit ribosomal RNA
Source: RNAcentral
UGAGGAACAUGACCUUCGGCGGGGGAUAGCCGGCCCAACGGCCGGGUAAUACCGCGUACGACCACAUGGGGACAUCCCUGAGUGGUGAAAGCAGCAAUGCGCCGAUGGAGUGCCUCGCGGCCUAUCAGCUAGUUGGUGAGGUAACGGCUCACCAAGGCGACGACGGGUAGCUGGUCUGAGAGGAUGGCCAGCCACAUUGGGACUGAGACACGGCCCAAACUCCUAGGAG